GAUGAACGCUGGCGGCGUGCCUAAUACAUGCAAGUCGAGCGGACAGACGAGGAGCUUGCUCCUUCGACGUUAGCGGCGGACGGGUGAGUAACACGUAGGUAACCUACCUAUAAGACUGGGAUAACUUCGGGAAACCGGAGCUAAUACCGGAUAAUAUUUCGAACCGCAUGGUUCGAUAGUGAAAGAUGGCUUUGCUAUCACUUAUAGAUGGACCUGCGCCGUAUUAGCUAGUUGGUAAGGUAACGGCUUACCAAGGCAACGAUACGUAGCCGACCUGAGAGGGUGAUCGGCCACACUGGAACUGAGACACGGUCCAGACUCCUACGGGAGGCAGCAGUAGGGAAUCUUCCGCAAUGGGCGAAAGCCUGACGGAGCAACGCCGCGUGAGUGAUGAAGGUCUUCGGAUCGUAAAACUCUGUUAUUAGGGAAGAACAAACGUGUAAGUAACUGUGCACGUCUUGACGGUACCUAAUCAGAAAGCCACGGCUAACUACGUG
This 497-nucleotide ribosomal RNA is filed under the name uncultured bacterium. Its description in RNAcentral is "partial 16S ribosomal RNA". It matches the Rfam family "Bacterial small subunit ribosomal RNA", at positions 28 to 507 of the family's 1533-position model. The record is from RNAcentral.